GCCCGUGGCGGGGUGCUAUACAUGCAAGUCGAACGAACUCUGGUAUUGAUUGGUGCUUGCAUCAUGAUUUACAUUUGAGUGAGUGGCGAACUGGUGAGUAACACGUGGGAAACCUGCCCAGAAGCGGGGGAUAACACCUGGAAACAGAUGCUAAUACCGCAUAACAACUUGGACCGCAUGGUCCGAGUUUGAAAGAUGGCUUCGGCUAUCACUUUUGGAUGGUCCCGCGGCGUAUUAGCUAGAUGGUGGGGUAACGGCUCACCAUGGCAAUGAUACGUAGCCGACCUGAGAGGGUAAUCGGCCACAUUGGGACUGAGACACGGCCCAAACUCCUACGGGAGGCAGCAGUAGGGAAUCUUCCACAAUGGACGAAAGUCUGAUGGAGCAACGCCGCGUGAGUGAAGAAGGGUUUCGGCUCGUAAAACUCUGUUGUUAAAGAAGAACAUAUCUGAGAGUAACUGUUCAGGUAUUGACGGUAUUUAACCAGAAAGCCACGGCUAACUACGUGCCAGCAGCCGCGGUAAUACGUAGGUGGCAAGCGUUGUCCGGAUUUAUUGGGCGUAAAGCGAGCGCAGGCGGUUUUUUAAGUCUGAUGUGAAAGCCUUCGGCUCAACCGAAGAAGUGCAUCGGAAACUGGGAAACUUGAGUGCAGAAGAGGACAGUGGAACUCCAUGUGUAGCGGUGAAAUGCGUAGAUAUAUGGAAGAACACCAGUGGCGAAGGCGGCUGUCUGGUCUGUAACUGACGCUGAGGCUCGAAAGUAUGGGUAGCAAACAGGAUUAGAUACCCUGGUAGUCCAUACCGUAAACGAUGAAUGCUAAGUGUUGGAGGGUUUCCGCCCUUCAGUGCUGCAGCUAACGCAUUAAGCAUUCCGCCUGGGGAGUACGGCCGCAAGGCUGAAACUCAAAGGAAUUGACGGGGGCCCGCACAAGCGGUGGAGCAUGUGGUUUAAUUCGAAGCUACGCGAAGAACCUUACCAGGUCUUGACAUACUAUGCAAAUCUAAGAGAUUAGACGUUCCCUUCGGGGACAUGGAUACAGGUGGUGCAUGGUUGUCGUCAGCUCGUGUCGUGAGAUGUUGGGUUAAGUCCCGCAACGAGCGCAACCCUUAUUAUCAGUUGCCAGCAUUAAGUUGGGCACUCUGGUGAGACUGCCGGUGACAAACCGGAGGAAGGUGGGGAUGACGUCAAAUCAUCAUGCCCCUUAUGACCUGGGCUACACACGUGCUACAAUGGAUGGUACAACGAGUUGCGAACUCGCGAGAGUAAGCUAAUCUCUUAAAGCCAUUCUCAGUUCGGAUUGUAGGCUGCAACUCGCCUACAUGAAGUCGGAAUCGCUAGUAAUCGCGGAUCAGCAUGCCGCGGUGAAUACGUUCCCGGGCCUUGUACACACCGCCCGUCACACCAUGAGAGUUUGUAACACCCAAAGUCGGUGGGGUAACCUUUUAGGAACCAGCCGCCUAAAGGUUGAACAGAAGUUUG
Molecule: ribosomal RNA, 1479 nt
Filed under: Lactiplantibacillus plantarum
Lineage: Bacteria; Bacillati; Bacillota; Bacilli; Lactobacillales; Lactobacillaceae
Description: bacterial SSU rRNA
Rfam family: Bacterial small subunit ribosomal RNA
Source: RNAcentral